ACUUGCUUUGGAGGCUCUCCAAGUGCUUUACAAACAUGAAGAGAUUAGUGAAGUCUCAGAGCACCCUGAGAGACAGGGAGGUUUUGUUAUCUCUGUUUUACAGAGAGAAAGGCUGGGGCAGCGUGGGGAAGAAGCUAGCACUGCUGCGCCUGGCCUUGUACCUGCUUUGUGAAUGGGGAACGCCCUUCUCCAGGGUUCUCAUUCGAGAGCCCUUCAAAGGGACACAAUUCAGCUCUGAAAGAAUAAGAAAAAGCAAAUGGGACAGCUGAGCCCUGCCACAGAUUGGUGAGGAUGCAUGUGAAGACCUUCAAUUAGUAAGUGGAUGCGAAUGGGAGAAUCUGGGCCCUCUUGACUCUCACCAAGGAGAGAACUUGGUUUCAAAGGCCUAAUAGAGAAAAGGAUGAAGAAAUAUUAGGCACAAGUGAAAAGGGAAGGUUUUCUGGUCCUAUCUGGUGCCACAAUUAUAAUAAUAAAGCAGCUACCUUCUCAGAAGUGCUAAAGGUCUGCACAGAAUGUCCCUAAAGAUAUGCUACAAAACAUCAUCCCAUGGUGUAAUCAAGAGCGAACUCAUGUCCUGUGUACCCUGUGCAAAAUUGUUCCCAUGGAUCUAGUC
Molecule: long non-coding RNA, 613 nt
Organism: Alligator mississippiensis (American alligator)
Lineage: Eukaryota; Metazoa; Chordata; Crocodylia; Alligatoridae
Exons: 4
Source: RefSeq, a predicted model, not a curated record